UAUCAACCAUCAAGCCUGGCUUGUCGUUGGACCUUUGGUCGUCAGGACCGGUCCGAAAGAUAAUGGACGGGCGUCUGGUGGCCCCCGAUGCAACGAGCUCUUUCAAAACAGCACGCAUCGGUGCGGUCGACAGCCCCGCCCCAAACCCCAAUUUUUCUCAGGUUGACCUCGGAUCAGGUAGGAAUACCCGCUGAACUUAA
This 200-nucleotide unclassified non-coding RNA is filed under the name soil metagenome. RNAcentral describes it as "partial contains internal transcribed spacer 2 and large subunit ribosomal RNA". The record is from RNAcentral.